Molecule: ribosomal RNA, 788 nt
Filed under: uncultured Methanobacteriaceae archaeon
Lineage: Archaea; Methanobacteriati; Methanobacteriota; Methanobacteria; Methanobacteriales; Methanobacteriaceae
Description: bacterial SSU rRNA
Rfam family: Archaeal small subunit ribosomal RNA
Source: RNAcentral
GCUCAGUAACACGUGGAUAACCUACCCUUAGGACCGGGAUAACCCUGGGAAACUGGGGCUAAUACUGGAUAGAUGAUUUUUCCUGGAAUGGUUUUUUGUUUAAAUGUUUUUUCGCCUAAGGAUGGGUCUGCGGCAGAUUAGGUAGUUGGUUGGGUAAUGGCUUACCAAGCCUAUAAUCUGUACGGGUUGUGAGAGCAAGAGCCCGGAGAUGGAACCUGAGACAAGGUUCCAGGCCCUACGGGGCGCAGCAGGCGCGAAACCUCCGCAAUGUGAGAAAUCGCGACGGGGGGAUCCCAAGUGCCAUUCUUAACGGGAUGGCUUUUCUUAAGUGUAAAAAGCUUUUGGAAUAAGAGCUGGGCAAGACCGGUGCCAGCCGCCGCGGUAACACCGGCAGCUCUAGUGGUAGCUGUUUUUAUUGGGCCUAAAGCGUUCGUAGCCGGUUUGAUAAGUCACUGGUGAAAUCCUGUAGCUUAACUGUGGGAAUUGCUGGUGAUACUGUUGAACUUGAGGUCGGGAGAGGUUAGAGGUACUCCUGGGGUAGGGGUGAAAUCCUGUAAUCCUAGGAGGACCACCUGUGGCGAAGGCGGCUCUCUGGUCUGCAACUGACGCUGAGGCUCGAAAGCAUGGGUAGCGAACAGGAUUAGAUACCCUGGUAGUCCAUGCCGUAAACGAUGAGUGCUAAGUGUUGGGAGGUUUCCGCCUCUCAGUGCUGCAGCUAACGCAUUAAGCACUCCGCCUGGGGAGUACGACCGCAAGGUUGAAACUCAAAGGAAUUGGCGGGGGAGCAC